Molecule: ribosomal RNA, 197 nt
Filed under: Rossellomorea aquimaris
Lineage: Bacteria; Bacillati; Bacillota; Bacilli; Caryophanales; Bacillaceae
Description: Bacillus aquimaris partial 16S ribosomal RNA
Rfam family: Bacterial small subunit ribosomal RNA
Source: RNAcentral
CGGAUCAGCAUGCCGCGGUGAAUACGUUCCCGGGCCUUGUACACACCGCCCGUCACACCACGAGAGUUUGUAACACCCGAAGUCGGUGAGGUAACCUUUUGGAGCCAGCCGCCUAAGGUGGGACAGAUGAUUGGGGUGAAGUCGUAACAAGGUAGCCGUAUCGGAAGGUGCGGCUGGAUCACCUCCUUUCUAAGGAA